RNAcentral lists this ribosomal RNA (565 nucleotides) under uncultured eukaryote. RNAcentral describes it as "SSU rRNA". It matches the Rfam family "Eukaryotic small subunit ribosomal RNA", at positions 4 to 565 of the family's 1831-position model. The record is from RNAcentral.
CUGGUUGAUCCUGCCAGUAGUCAUAUGCUUGUCUCAAAGAUUAAGCCAUGCAUGUCUAAGUACAUACUUUUGCACGGUGAAACCGCGAAUGGCUCAUUAAAUCAGUUAUGGUUCCUUAGAUAGUUCAUAUUACAUGGAUAACUGUGGUAAUUCUAGAGCUAAUACAUGCAAAAAGCUCCGACCGUAUGGGAAGAGCGCUUUUAUUAGACCAAAACCAAUGGGAUCGCAAGAUUCCUUUGUAUGGUGACUCUGGAUAACUUUGUGCAGAUCGCAUGGCCUAGAGCCGGCGACGUAUCUUUCAAAUGUCUGCCCUAUCAACUUUCGAUGGUAAGCGAUAUGCCUACCAUGGUUGUAACGGGUAACGGGGAAUCAGGGUUCGAUUCCGGAGAGGGAGCAUGAGAAAUGGCUACCACAUCUACGGAAGGCAGCAGGCGCGCGAAUUACCCACUCCUAGAACGGGGAGGUAGUGACGAAAAAUAACAAUACCGGACUCUAUGAGGCUCGGUAAUUGAAAUGAGUACAGUUUAAAACCCUUAACGAGGAUCUAUUGGAGGGCAAGUCUGGU